UGGGUAACCUGCCUCAAAGAGGGGAAUAGCCUCCCGAAAGGGAGAUUAAUACCGCAUAAUAUGUUUAAGUCGCAUGACUUUAACAUCAAAGGAUUUUCUUUUAGAAAUUCCACUUUGAGAUGGACCCGCGGCGCAUUAGCUAGUUGGUGAGGUAACGGCUCACCAAGGCAACGAUGCGUAGCCGACCUGAGAGGGUGAUCGGCCACAUUGGGACUGAGACACGGUCCAGACUCCGUAGGAG
This 241-nucleotide ribosomal RNA is filed under the name uncultured bacterium. Its description in RNAcentral is "partial 16S ribosomal RNA". It matches the Rfam family "Bacterial small subunit ribosomal RNA", at positions 118 to 347 of the family's 1533-position model. The record is from RNAcentral.